Molecule: ribosomal RNA, 235 nt
Filed under: uncultured bacterium
Lineage: Bacteria
Description: partial 16S ribosomal RNA
Rfam family: Bacterial small subunit ribosomal RNA
Source: RNAcentral
CGAACGGGUGAGUAAUGAAUCGCUAACGUGCCCCGGACUUCGGGAUAGCUAUCCGAAAGGGUAGGUAAUACCGAAUGACAUAUUUCCUCCGCAUGGGGGGAAUCUCAAAGGUCCGCCGGUCUGGGAGCGGGCGAUUUCGUAUCAGCUAGUUGGUGGGGUAAUGGCCCACCAAGGCAUCGACGCGUAGCCGGACUGAGAGGUUGGCCGGCCACAUUGGGACUGAGACACGGCCCAG